UACGGGAGGCAGCAGUGGGGAAUCUUGCGCAAUGGACGAAAGUCUGACGCAGCGACGCCGCGUGGGGGAUGAAGGCUUUCGGGUUGUAAACCCCUGUUGCCCGGGACGAACUUCUCCUUUCGAGGAGAUUGACGGUACCGGGUGAGGAAGCACCGGCUAACUCUGUGCCAGCAGCCGCGGUAAUACAGAGGGUGCGAGCGUUGUCCGGAAUCACUGGGCGUAAAGGGCGCGUAGGUGGCCCGACAAGUCCGUGGUGAAAGCUCGACGCUCAACGUCGAGUCGGCCAUGGAUACUGUUGGGCUGGAGCACUGUAGAGGCUCAUGGAAUUCCGGGUGUAGCGGUGGAAUGCGUAGAGAUCCGGAAGAACACCGGUGGCGAAGACGGUGAGCUGGGCAGUUGCUGACACUGAGGCGCGACAGCGUGGGGAGCAAACAGGAUUAGAUACCCUGGUAG
RNAcentral lists this ribosomal RNA (453 nucleotides) under uncultured Gemmatimonadota bacterium. Its description in RNAcentral is "bacterial SSU rRNA". It matches the Rfam family "Bacterial small subunit ribosomal RNA", at positions 340 to 793 of the family's 1533-position model. Lineage: Bacteria; Pseudomonadati; Gemmatimonadota. The record is from RNAcentral.